GACGAACCGUGCGAACGUUAUUCGGAAUCACUGGGCUUAAAGCGCGUGUAGGCGGAAGGGCACGUCCGUUGCUGAAAUCCCCCGGCUCAACCGGGGAACGGGCGCGGAUACGACUCUUCUGGAGGGGCGUAGGGGGACCUGGAACUUCCGGUGGAGCGGUGAAAUGCGUUGAGAUCGGAAGGAACGCCCGUGGCGAAAGCGAGGUCCUGGACGCCUACUGACGCUGAGGCGCGAAAGCUAGGGGAGCAAACAGG
Molecule: ribosomal RNA, 254 nt
Filed under: uncultured bacterium
Lineage: Bacteria
Description: partial 16S ribosomal RNA
Rfam family: Bacterial small subunit ribosomal RNA
Source: RNAcentral